This 253-nucleotide ribosomal RNA is filed under the name uncultured bacterium. RNAcentral's name for it is "partial 16S ribosomal RNA". It matches the Rfam family "Bacterial small subunit ribosomal RNA", at positions 524 to 776 of the family's 1533-position model. The record is from RNAcentral.
UACGUAGGUGGCAAGCGUUGUCCGGAUUUAUUGGGCUUAAAGGGUGCGUAGGCGGCUUUGUAAGUCAGUGGUGAAAUAUGGCAGCUCAACUGUCAAGGUGCCAUUGAUACUGCGGAGCUUGAGUACAGAUGAGGUAGGCGGAAUUGACGGUGUAGCGGUGAAAUGCUUAGAUAUCGUCAAGAACACGUAUAGCGAAGGCAGCUUACUAGGCUGUAACUGACGCUGAGGCACGAAAGUGUGGGGAUCAAACAGG